Molecule: long non-coding RNA, 1033 nt
Filed under: Homo sapiens (human)
Lineage: Eukaryota; Metazoa; Chordata; Mammalia; Primates; Hominidae
Description: HSALNT0367751
Source: RNAcentral
GUAAUAUCAGGCAAUUCACCUAGAAUUCAGAAAGCAACAAAUAGAACAAUUCCUCUCUCUUGGGACUUCAUUUUCUUGGAUCUGAAUUUUUAAGUCCUGAAGAUUCUGAAAUAUUCCAAAGGAUUAGGAGUUUAAAAUUCUCUCUUCCUCAUGGAGGAAAACCAGGAGAUAUACAAAGAGGUAUCCUGCUAGAGGAUCCCAGGCUAACGAUGGAUUAGGGAAGAACAGAUGAUGUGUCCAAGCGAGGAGGACAUAAGAGAAGCAAGGUGCCAAAUAAAGAAUGAGAGGUCAAAUGUAAUACAAUUUGCUGACUGUAAGGGGGAGAGUUUUUUUCCCCAAAAUGCCAAAGUACAUAAAGAUAAAGGUGAAAGUUUCCUCUCACCAGUUCCAGUGUUAACAGUGAGAGUUCUUGGGCAAGCCCUCCCCAAAUGACCGAAAUGGCCCUCCUGCUACUCCAGGACUACAUUUUACCAGCAUAGUGACAAAGUAAAAAGCAAAUGAUUAGUUCAAGCCAGUGAUGUGAAGGGUCAAGAAAACUUUUUCUUUUGAGCUAUUCAAGCUUACAACAAAUUGGGACACAAUUGGAGAUACUGGUUACUUUACAAAGCAUUUAACUGGAAUGGCAUAUUUUCCAUAAUGACCAGACUGCUUUGAGGAAUUAAGGUUGACUUAUAAAGCUCAAAAAAAGCUUCUUGGAAAGGCUGGUCUGGUAUGUUGUCUGCAAGGUUCCUUUACAAGUUCCCUGACCUUUGGUAACUAAGGAAUGUCACUUUCUGACAGUCCCAGGAACCUCAAAUUAUUUGAGCACUUUGAGGAAAGAGGAACUCACCCAAUUCAUACAGAUAUUGCAAUAGUCUGAUGGCAAAUCCUUGGCAUGGCUUCUAGCCUUGAGGCUUUUAAAAGUCUAAUCUGAGAUUCCUUAUGAAAAAGUUCCAGCAAAGUCAGUCUUAAAAGAGUUUAUAUGCAGCCUGAAUGACAUAGUAAGAAUCCCAUCUCUAAAAGAAGAAGAAAAAUAAAUAAAAAUAAAAAAGCC